Long non-coding RNA from Mobula hypostoma (lesser devil ray), 410 nucleotides. RefSeq lists it as uncharacterized. The transcript is spliced from 3 exons. The record is from RefSeq and is a predicted model, not a curated record. Lineage: Eukaryota; Metazoa; Chordata; Chondrichthyes; Myliobatiformes; Myliobatidae.
CCCGGCACUGCGGGUUAUUUACAGAGACCCUUGCGAUGCGGGCGGUAAGCAUCAGCGGCUUUGCGCGUCAGCGGAACCUGCAGCGUGAGUAGCCCAGCGAAAGCCGCCGGCCCUGACACCUUGCACACUCCCGACAGCUGAUCAGUCACCCCACAUAUCUCAUUACACAAUUCAGAGUAUGUACUACUGAGGGGUGUGCCACAUUGUUAAAGCUGCUCUCUUCCAGGUGGAAUGUUUAACCAACAUCAUAGAGCACUACACCACGGAAACAGGCUGCUGUACCUCCUCCAUGAUGGUCGUAUUGAGAAGAGCCAAUGAAGGGAAACACAGAUGUAAUGUUGGUAAAGUAACAUCCAGCUUGUACAUACAUAUAAUUAUGUUAAAGGAUGAAAUAAAUCUGCAUUAAUUUG